GCUGCAGUCGUGCGCGAAAGCCUUCGGGCGAGUAAAGCGGCGAAAGGGUGAGUAGCACGUAACCAACCUGCCCCUUAGACUGGAAUAACCACUGGAGACGGUGGAUAAUGCUGGAUACUCCAUUUGGAAGGCAUCUUCUGAUUGGCAAACGGUGGCGUAAGCUGCUGCUGAGGGAGGGGGUUGCGGGCUAUCAGCUAGUUGGCGAGGUAACGGCUCACCAAGGCGAUGACGGCUACCGGGUCUGAGAGGACGGUCCGGCACACUGGGACUGAGACACUGCCCAGACUCCUACGGGAGGCUGCAGUCGAGAAUCUUCCGCAAUGGGCGCAAGCCUGACGGAGCGACACCGCGUGCAGGAUGAAGGCCUUCGGGUUGUAAACUGCUGUCACGUUUUCGGAAUGGCGCAGCGUAAAUAGCGUUGCGCUUGACCAUGGCGAAAGGAAGCACCGGCUAACUCUGUGCCAGCAGCCGCGGUAAGACAGAGGGUGCAAACGUUGUUCGGAAUUACUGGGCAUAAAGAGCACGUAGGUGGUCUGCUAAGUCAUGUGUGAAAUCCCCCGGCUCAACCGGGGAAUUGCGCCUGAUACUGGUAGGCUUGAGGUCGGUAGGGGUGAGUGGAACUCCAGGUGGAGCGGUGAAAUGCGUAGAUAUCUGGAGGAACACCGGUGGCGAAGGCGGCUCACUGGACCGAAUCUGACACUGAGGUGCGAAAGCUAGGGUAGCAAACGGGAUUAGAUACCCCGGUAGUCCUAGCCGUAAACGAUGGGCACUGGGCAGGGGGAGUACCUAUGAUUCUCUCUGCCGUANCUAAUGUGUUAA
RNAcentral lists this ribosomal RNA (819 nucleotides) under uncultured microorganism. RNAcentral describes it as "bacterial SSU rRNA". It matches the Rfam family "Bacterial small subunit ribosomal RNA", at positions 53 to 863 of the family's 1533-position model. The record is from RNAcentral.